Molecule: non-coding RNA, 29 nt
Filed under: Mus musculus (house mouse)
Lineage: Eukaryota; Metazoa; Chordata; Mammalia; Rodentia; Muridae
Source: RNAcentral
UCAGUAGGACCUAGAUUCUGCUCCGGCGC